This 575-nucleotide ribosomal RNA is filed under the name Kluyveromyces lactis. RNAcentral's name for it is "LSU rRNA". It matches the Rfam family "Eukaryotic large subunit ribosomal RNA", at positions 34 to 650 of the family's 3401-position model. Lineage: Eukaryota; Fungi; Ascomycota; Saccharomycetes; Saccharomycetales; Saccharomycetaceae. The record is from RNAcentral.
UUAAGCAUAUCAAUAAGCGGAGGAAAAGAAACCAACCGGGAUUGCCUUAGUAACGGCGAGUGAAGCGGCAAAAGCUCAAAUUUGAAAUCUGGCGUCUUCGACGUCCGAGUUGUAAUUUGAAGAAGGUAACUUUGUAGCUGGUCCUUGUCUAUGUUCCUUGGAACAGGACGUCAUAGAGGGUGAGAAUCCCGUGUGGCGAGGAUCCCAGUUAUUUGUAAAGUGCUUUCGACGAGUCGAGUUGUUUGGGAAUGCAGCUCUAAGUGGGUGGUAAAUUCCAUCUAAAGCUAAAUAUUGGCGAGAGACCGAUAGCGAACAAGUACAGUGAUGGAAAGAUGAAAAGAACUUUGAAAAGAGAGUGAAAAAGUACGUGAAAUUGUUGAAAGGGAAGGGCAUUUGAUCAGACAUGGCGUUUGCUUCGGCUUUCGCUGGGCCAGCAUCAGUUUUAGCGGUUGGAUAAAUCCUCGGGAAUGUGGCUCUGCUUCGGUAGAGUGUUAUAGCCCGUGGGAAUACAGCCAGCUGGGACUGAGGAUUGCGACUUUUGUCAAGGAUGCUGGCGUAAUGGUUAAAUGCCGCCC